This 468-nucleotide ribosomal RNA is filed under the name uncultured bacterium. RNAcentral describes it as "partial 16S ribosomal RNA". It matches the Rfam family "Bacterial small subunit ribosomal RNA", at positions 28 to 507 of the family's 1533-position model. The record is from RNAcentral.
GACGAACGCUGGCGGCGUGCUUAACACAUGCAAGUCGAACGGAAAGGCCCUGCUUUUGUGGGGUGCUCGAGUGGCGAACGGGUGAGUAACACGUGAGUAACCUGCCCUUGACUUUGGGAUAACUUCAGGAAACUGGGGCUAAUACCGGAUAGGAGCUCCUGCUGCAUGGUGGGGGUUGGAAAGUUUCGGCGGUUGGGGAUGGACUCGCGGCUUAUCAGCUUGUUGGUGGGGUAGUGGCUUACCAAGGCUUUGACGGGUAGCCGGCCUGAGAGGGUGACCGGCCAAAUUGGGACUGAGCUACGGCCCAGACUCCUACGGGAGGCAGCAGUGGGGAAUAUUGCACAAUGGGCUGAAGCCUGAUGCAGCCACGCCGCGUGCGUGAUGACGGCCUUCGGGUUGUAAACCGCUUUCGCCUGUGACGAAGCGUGAGUGACGGUAAUGGGUAAAGAAGCACCGGCUAACUACGUG